This is an RNA transcript of Hypomesus transpacificus, 551 nucleotides long. It is a transcript of the gene named NADH dehydrogenase [ubiquinone] 1 beta subcomplex subunit 1-like, with no coding region annotated. Lineage: Eukaryota; Metazoa; Chordata; Actinopteri; Osmeriformes; Osmeridae. The record is from RefSeq and is a predicted model, not a curated record. The transcript has 4 exons.
GCCUGUGUCGAAAAUAAAUAAAUAAGUUUGAUCCUUGAAGAACUAGACACGUCAACACAUGUUUAAAGGGUUGUAGAAAGCGAUACAGAAAAAAGUCCAGCUCUUCCAUCGCCAGGGAUCGUUCUAAUGCACGAUUUUGAGCUUCGGCCCACCACGAAGAGUUGGUAGAGUCCAAUGCCCUCUGAUGCCCAGUGAUAACUAGUGAUACAGCGGAAGAAAGGCCUCGACUGGAAACAUAAUGAACUUUGCAGCCCUUGUUCGUGAGCAUUGGGCUAACAUACUUGUACCCAUUGGCUUUGUGAUUGGAAUUUACAUGGACCGAGCACAAGACAUGAAGCUGACGGCAUUUAGGAAUAAAAGUGCCCUAUACAGCAGGGAACUAAAGCCAGGCGAGGAGGUGACCUGGAAAUAAUCCCGUCUGUCUUGGAAUAUUUAGUGUCAACAUGUCCUGUUGUGCAAUUAUAUGGUCGUCUCAUCUGAUAUCUUGAAUUCUUUAUCACUUAUGGGAUGUAUCAACCAAUUAUAAACAUACCCUUUGUCAUCCAACAUUU